GUCCUGUUUCACUGCAGCACAGCACACCGGCUUACUUUCACCUUUGGUUAUCUCCCGUGCUGCCUGCUGCUCUGCCUAAGAACAGCCUUUCCUCUGGCUAUUUCCUUCUCUCGAGGUCAUUCUCCCUAUCUGUUUUGCUCACAACAUGUUCUCUAGUCACCGUAUGCUAAGAGGCCGGAUCCUCCUCUCCUUGUCCAUGUUCUUUGUGCUGCCAAAAAGCUGCCCUUACUGUUUUGCCGGGGAUUCAUCUGGUGCUGGGGAAUUCUUGGAUAUUGUUAGGCCACCUUUAUUGCGGGGGUAUCUGAAUGCUUUGAUGCAUUGAGUAGUCUCUUGCUUUGCUGAAGGCAGUAUGGCACUGCCCCCUCUUCCUUUCCCACUGCUAGGAAAAGUUAUCUGGCCUUCCUGUGAUGUUACAGAGCUCGUGUGGUGUGCAUGCAAGAGUCCCACGGAGAAUGUGGGUCAAAGUAGCUUUUGUACUUUGCUUGUGCUUAUGGCUAUCCAGGGGUUAUGGUCUGAUAAGUGACCCUGUAAAAAUGACCAAUAGAUUUCUUAUAUUGUUCUUUCUUAACAAUUUUCAAGCCCAGUUUGUUCACCUUGUAAAUAAAAAUAUGUUUUCUACCUUCUAGUGGUUCAUUUGGAAUCUGAGAGUCAAGGUGCAUUUUGCCUGUGGCUUAGAUCUGUUCCACUAAUAAAUAUUCGGCAGUUACAACUCUACACUAAGAAUUCUGUUGAUAGUGCAUGAAGCAGCUGGAUUUCAAGCUGUGUUGGCUGUGGAAGGAUAUCACAAAAUCUUACUUGAUUCAGUAAGAUUUUACAACAGCUGCUGUAAUAAUCUGGCCUUCAUAGAGAGUGCCCACAAUGUUCAACAGAAAAAUUCUGAUUUCAGAUCUCUAGUGCUGAUCCGUGACUAAUAAUAUUAAAGCCAUACAUUCUCUCUGGUGAGUAAUGUCGUGCUGUUAUCUUAACACUGAAUGAACUGUAAGGCUCCCUGCAUUUCAGAAUGUAUUGGACCUCUCAUGCCAGGAAACUCUGGAACCUCACAAGAUUUGAAGAUGACAGAGAGCACAGAAAAAGGCAAGACUGUAAAAUCUUGAGAUCUGGAGGUGUAGGUAUCUAGCAAAGGUUUGGGGAGAGAAAAGGGUAAUACUUAUCAUAGUUAUGAAACCUAAGAAAAGGCUUUAAUAUUUGUGCAGAGGUUCAGACUUUCUUCUUUUCCUCCCACUCAGUUUGGCCAUCCGUGUGUUUUACUAAGGGCUGGUGUAAUGGUUGAGAAAAGGGGUGACAUGCCAGGAAUGUGUGGCCAAUGAGGGUUUGAGCAGUUUUGUUUCUGACUGUAAUUAUGCCCCUCUGGGAAACCUCAUUUGUUGUAGUCAAAUCAAGACAUUCCCACUCAUUUCAUGCCCCAAUAGUGCAAACAGCUUCAGUGUUUUAAAGAAGGGACUACAGGAAGAAUCUCUGUAAAUUAAUCAAUUUAAUACUCAUGGCUACGAGGCAGGUCUUAUCUCCAUUUUUGUAAAGAAAGAAAAUGAGACUCAGAGAAAUUAAAGAGCAUAAUUAUUACUCCUUUAUGCUAGUGUAAAAAUGUAGUGGAGUUAAUCUUAACUGACUUCAGGGAAGUUACUUCUAAUUUAUACCAGUUUAAGAUUGAGCAGCAUUGACCCUAAGUGACUUACCAAAUAACUAUGCAGCAAUCAGUGGCACAGCUAGUUCUUGAAUUCUAACACUCACUUCCACAUCUAUACUCUGUCAUUAGGCCUUUACUCAUCAUAUAAAACAGUAGACUUAACAUGAGCUUCUAGAUAGGUAUCCUGAGUUCUUGAACUGGGUAUGUCAGUGUAUGCAGGCAGAUUAAUAAGGCUUCCUUUUUAUAGGAGUUCAGUUUCAUAAAGUUGAAAUCUCUAGGACCUACAGAUCUGCACAUAAGUGUCCAUUCAUUACUCAAGGCUUAAACCAGAGUGAUGACUGGAGAGAGAUCAGUUCUACCCUCUGUAUAGCAGUAUAAACAGAUUGCAGUGAUAGAAUUUAAAGCCUACCAUAUAAGCAGCAUAUCUCUUUCCUGCUGGGCGACAGAAUGACGACAUCAUGCUCUCUAGCUGUGAAAGCAGCCAGAGAGAGGGAAGGCUGGCAAGUGUAGUAAGCAUGGGGCGCAGCCCUCUAGUCUGCACUGAAGGGCACAUGUCGGCUACGUCUACAGUGGCAUGAUUUUCCAGAAAUGCUUUUAACGGAAAAGUUUUCUGUUAAAAGCAUUUUCA
Molecule: non-coding RNA, 2252 nt
Organism: Pelodiscus sinensis (Chinese soft-shelled turtle)
Lineage: Eukaryota; Metazoa; Chordata; Testudines; Trionychidae
Source: RefSeq, a predicted model, not a curated record